GUUCCUUGCUGGGGGUGCUGGCCUUGUGCCGGCUGAGAAAGUCCCUUCGAACCUGACUGAGGUAAUCCUCGCGCAGGGAAGCAUGGCGCGGAGCCC
This 96-nucleotide non-coding RNA is filed under the name Leptothrix cholodnii. RNAcentral's name for it is "TPP sequence". It matches the Rfam family "TPP riboswitch aptamer (THI element)". From Rfam's summary of the family: Vitamin B(1) in its active form thiamin pyrophosphate (TPP) is an essential coenzyme that is synthesised by coupling of pyrimidine and thiazole moieties in bacteria. The previously detected thiamin-regulatory element, thi box was extended, resulting in a new, highly conserved RNA secondary structure, the THI element, which is widely distributed in eubacteria and also occurs in some archaea. The record is from RNAcentral. RNAcentral also lists the same sequence under 1 other name. Lineage: Bacteria; Pseudomonadati; Pseudomonadota; Betaproteobacteria; Burkholderiales; Sphaerotilaceae.